Chinchilla lanigera (long-tailed chinchilla) is the source of this 357-nucleotide long non-coding RNA. RefSeq lists it as uncharacterized. The record is from RefSeq and is a predicted model, not a curated record. The transcript is spliced from 3 exons. NCBI's taxonomy places the organism in Eukaryota, Metazoa, Chordata, Mammalia, Rodentia, Chinchillidae.
GUGUGCACCACCACACCUGGCUCUCAGGUUCCAGGCACCUGUGGACGAGCUGUCAGAAAAUCUCAACCUGUACAAAGACAACAGGGGACACCACAGACAAGAGGGAGAAGAUGUCACAGCCCCAAAACAUCGACCACGCCCUGAGCAUUGUCCCAGAAGAGGCCAUGCUGAAGAGAGAUCAUCUCAGACCCAAGCAGAAGAGCGGGCCGAUGUCCCUGGGGAAGAGGACAGCUGACUUAGCAAAGGACCUGAGCACCCAAGACUGGGCCACUUAAACUGUUCCCCUUAAUGUUCUUUUUUUUCUUUUGCAAUACUGGGGAUCAAACCCAAGGGCUCUCUACCAGUGAGCCACAGCCU